GAAACAUCUGAGAUGCUUGAACUCAAUUAAGGCUCCAGAGAAUUGCAUCAUAUCUUAGUGUCCUGGUGGACAGUGUUGUGUGAUGGAGGACUCUGACCUGACGCCGACACUCCUGACCUCAAAGUGUGCAGUCUGAGGGCAGUCUGUGAAACCCCAGUGCAUGUUUGCAUUCCUGAAACGGUCUGUAGCAGACGGUGAAGGCUGGAUGAAGAAUGGGAAUGUUGCUUUAAGGUUUGUGGGUUCGGAGGUUAUCGCACAAGCUGCCUACACAGGCUCUCCAACAGUCCAUAUUGAGGUGAUACCCAUACCGCUUGAGAUUCAGUAGCAUAAGCCAAAAGACACUGUAUGUUAUAAAGAUUUUACCACAAUAAGAGGUGUCUUUAAGGCCCAGUAUACUGAUGGUGAAGCUCUUUUUUGAUCUUUGCUUAGAGGUGAAAAGAAUUGUGAAGUAUCUGAGCAGGAGUAUACUGUUAACGAACAUCAUGGUGCCACCCACACCACUGAGAGUGCCGU
This is a long non-coding RNA of Cyprinus carpio carpio, 513 nucleotides long. NCBI's taxonomy places the organism in Eukaryota, Metazoa, Chordata, Actinopteri, Cypriniformes, Cyprinidae. The record is from Ensembl.